CUACGGGAGGCUGCAGUGAGGAAUAUUGCACAAUGGGGGGAACCCUGAUGCAGCAACGCCGCGUGGAGGAUGACGCAUUUCGGUGUGUAAACUCCUUUUAUAUGUCAAGAAAAUGACGGUAGCAUAUGAAUAAGCACCGGCUAACUCCGUGCCAGCAGCCGCGGUAAUACGGAGGGUGCAAGCGUUACUCGGAAUCACUGGGCGUAAAGGACGCGUAGGCGGGUUGGAAAGUCAGGUGUGAAAUCCUACAGCUUAACUGUAGAACUGCACUUGAAACUUCUAAUCUAGAGUAUGGGAGGGGGAGAUGGAAUUAGUGGUGUAGGGGUAAAAUCCGUAGAUAUCACUAGGAAUACCUAAAGCGAAGGCGAUCUCCUGGAACAUUACUGACGCUAAGGCGUGAAAGCGUGGGGAGCAAACAGGAUUAGAUACCCCAGUAGUC
RNAcentral lists this ribosomal RNA (439 nucleotides) under uncultured bacterium. Its description in RNAcentral is "partial 16S ribosomal RNA". It matches the Rfam family "Bacterial small subunit ribosomal RNA", at positions 339 to 795 of the family's 1533-position model. The record is from RNAcentral.